GGUAUAGCGUAAUGGUUAGCGCAACGGACUCUGACUCCGUUGGUCGGGGUUCGAAUCCCUGUAC
This 64-nucleotide transfer RNA is filed under the name bovine gut metagenome. It matches the Rfam family "tRNA", at positions 5 to 66 of the family's 71-position model. From Rfam's summary of the family: Transfer RNA (tRNA) molecules are approximately 80 nucleotides in length. The record is from RNAcentral.